Molecule: transfer RNA, 73 nt
Filed under: Anaerolineae bacterium
Lineage: Bacteria; Bacillati; Chloroflexota; Anaerolineae
Also listed under: 2 other names
Description: tRNA-Arg
Rfam family: tRNA
About the family: Transfer RNA (tRNA) molecules are approximately 80 nucleotides in length. Their secondary structure includes four short double-helical elements and three loops (D, anti-codon, and T loops).
Source: RNAcentral
GCCCCCGUAGCUCAGAGGAUAGAGCAGCGGUUUCCUAAACCGUGUGCCGCAGGUUCGAAUCCUGCCGGGGGUA